GAAAUGCGAUAAGUAGUGUAAAUUAUAGAAUUUAGUAAAUUAUCAAAUCUUUAAACGCAUAUUGCGCCCCUUAGUAUUCUGUAGGGCAUGCCUAUUCAAGCGUUAUCUACACUCUUAAGCUCUACUUAGUGUUGGGCGUCUGUCCCGCCUUCGCGCGUAGACUCGCCCUAAAUGCAUUAGUAGCAGUCCUUGCCCCCUCCCGCGCAGCACAUUGCGCUUCUUAAGGCUACGGCGGCCCGCGUCUAACAAGCUGAACCCCCCCGUCUUUAGCCUUAGAUUAGUUAGAGAUACCCGCUGAACUUAAGC
RNAcentral lists this unclassified non-coding RNA (306 nucleotides) under plant metagenome. Its description in RNAcentral is "partial contains 5.8S ribosomal RNA, internal transcribed spacer 2, and large subunit ribosomal RNA". The stretch from base 1 to 105 matches the Rfam family "5.8S ribosomal RNA", at positions 50 to 154 of the family's 154-position model. The record is from RNAcentral.